CUUCCGCAUUGGUCGCGGCGCAAAUAUUAGACUGAGACCGACGCGUACGGGCCGCCGCGCCUUCCGCGCGCGGGUCUUAGGCAUGCGGCGGCUUCACACCCUUCUAUUUUGGUGACUCUGGAUAACUGUCAGUACGAUCGCACGGGCUAGUAUCGCACUAGCCUUCGCGCGAAGGGUCCCCCGCGAGUCCGCCCUAUCAACUGUCGACGGCCCGGUCAGUGCCGACCGUGGUGGCAACGGGUAACGGGGAAUCAGGGUUCGAUUCCGGAGAGGGAGCAUGCGAAACGGCUACCACAUCCAAGGAAGGCAGCAGGCGCGCAAAUUACCCACUCCCGGCACGGGGAGGUAGUGACGAAAAAUAACGACGCGGGACUCUGUCGAGGCCCCACGAUCGGAGUGAGUACACUUCAAAUCCGUUUACGAGGAUCGACCGGAUGGCAAGUCUGGUGCCAGCAGCCGCGGUAAUUCCAGCUCCGGUAGCGUAUAUUAAAAUUGUUGCGUUUGAAAAGCUUGUAGUCGGAAUUCGGGAUCGGAAGAGCAUC
RNAcentral lists this long non-coding RNA (542 nucleotides) under Octopus sinensis (East Asian common octopus). RNAcentral's name for it is "uncharacterized LOC118768603, transcript variant X1". It matches the Rfam family "Eukaryotic small subunit ribosomal RNA", at positions 184 to 659 of the family's 1831-position model. The record is from RNAcentral. Lineage: Eukaryota; Metazoa; Mollusca; Cephalopoda; Octopoda; Octopodidae.